This 429-nucleotide ribosomal RNA is filed under the name uncultured bacterium. Its description in RNAcentral is "bacterial SSU rRNA". It matches the Rfam family "Bacterial small subunit ribosomal RNA", at positions 355 to 776 of the family's 1533-position model. The record is from RNAcentral.
UCGAGAAUCUUCCGCAAUGGGCGAAAGCCUGACGGAGCGACGCCGCGUGGAGGACGAAGGCCUUCGGGUUGUAAACUCCUGUCACGAGUUAAGAAGGACGGCUGACGAACAGUGAGACGUCUUGACGUAAGCUCGAGAGGAAGCACUGGCUAACUCUGUGCCAGCAGCCGCGGUAAUACAGAGAGUGCGAACGUUGUUCGGAAUUACUGGGCUUAAAGCGCACGUAGGCGGCGUCGUAAGUGUCAGGUGAAAUCCCACGGCUCACCCGUGGAACUGCCUGGCAGACUGCGACGCUCGAGUGUGGUAGGGGAGAGCGGAACUCCUGGUGGAGCGGUGAAAUGCGUAGAUAUCAGGAGGAACACCGGUGGCGAAGGCGGCUCUCUGGUCCACAACUGACGCUGAGGUGCGAAAGCUAGGGGAGCAAACGGG